Molecule: non-coding RNA, 560 nt
Organism: Phacochoerus africanus (Common warthog)
Lineage: Eukaryota; Metazoa; Chordata; Mammalia; Artiodactyla; Suidae
Source: the annotation of a RefSeq genome assembly
GAGGUCACCAUGGGAACUGCCUUGUGGGGACAAGGGGCACCCCUCCUCCUCUGCACAUGCUCACAAGGUCCUGAGCUGGUGAACCUCCCAUUGCUGCCUUGACUCUGCCAUGGGCACUGGGCUACUCUGCCGGGCGACCCUCUGGCUCCUGGGGGCAGGUCACGCGGGAGCUGGAGUGUCCCAGUCCCCCAGGCACAGGGUCACAGGGAGGAACCAGACUAUUGCUCUCAGGUGUGAUCCAGUAUCUGGUCACGUUUCCCUUUACUGGUACCGACAGACGUUGGGGCAGGGCCUGGAGUUUCUGACUUAUUUUCAGGACAAAAGCGAACCAGACGAAUUACAGCUGCGUAAUGGCCGGUUCUCUGCUGAGAGGCCCGAGGGCUCCUUCUCCCACCUGAAGAUUCAGCGAGUGGAGCCAAAGGACUCGGCUGUGUAUCUCUGUGCCAGCAGCUUAGUCACAGUGUGGCACAGCCACCUCCUUCCUGUUCACGAACCCCCUCCGUCUCUUUCCUUGCAGCUCCUAGGGGCCUUUGGUAGGUCGCAGACAUGGCUAGGAUAGC